GACGAACGCUGGCGGCGUGCUUAACACAUGCAAGUCGAACGGUAAGGCCCUUCGGGGUACACGAGUUGCGAACGGGUGAGUAACACGUGGGUGAUCUGCCCUGCACUUCGGGAUAAGCCUGGGAAACUGGGUCUAAUACCGGAUAGGACCACUGCCUGCAUGGGUGGUGGUGGGAAGCUUUUGCGGUGUGGGAUGGGCCCGCGGCCUAUCAGCUUGUUGGUGGGGUGAUGGCCUACCAAGGCGACGCCGGGUAGCCGGCCUGAGAGGGUGACCGGCCACACUGGGACUGAGAUACGGCCCAGACUCCUACGGGAGGUAGCAGUGGGGAAUAUUGCACAAUGGGCGCAAGCCUGAUGCAGCGACGCCGCGUGAGGGAUGACGGCCUUCGGGUUGUAAACCUCUUUCAGCACCGACGAAGCGCAAGUGACGGUAGGUGCAGAAGAAGGACCGGCCAACUACGUGCCAGCAGCCGCCGUAA
RNAcentral lists this ribosomal RNA (478 nucleotides) under uncultured bacterium. Its description in RNAcentral is "partial 16S ribosomal RNA". It matches the Rfam family "Bacterial small subunit ribosomal RNA", at positions 28 to 523 of the family's 1533-position model. The record is from RNAcentral.